GAGAGCAAGCUCGAUCAGGGUCCUUACCUCCAGCCUGAACACUUGAAUUCCAAAUAAGCCGGCGCCCAGAGAGCAUCGCUCGAUCAGGGACCUUAACUCCGGCAAUCAACUGAACUCAGCCCAGAGAGCAAGCUCGAUCAGGGCAAACAAAUCCAUAAUAACCUUAUGUCCAUGAUCAUUACCGGUGCGCACGCGGUCCUGAUGUAACCCAUCAGGCGGCAUGUUCUACAAGCCACAUUUCCCAAUUCGCAAUCAUCACAUAUAAUAAAUAUCAUUAUCUGAUGAACUCAACCAACACAUAUCGAAAUAAAGAUUAAAGAUUUAAGGUAAAACAACGUGCAAUUUGUGAGGGGAAAAAU
RNAcentral lists this long non-coding RNA (359 nucleotides) under Ricinus communis (castor bean). Its description in RNAcentral is "long non-coding RNA (RCOM_LNC003258)". Lineage: Eukaryota; Viridiplantae; Streptophyta; Magnoliopsida; Malpighiales; Euphorbiaceae. The record is from RNAcentral.